Long non-coding RNA from Calidris pugnax (ruff), 472 nucleotides. RefSeq lists it as uncharacterized. The record is from RefSeq and is a predicted model, not a curated record. The transcript has 3 exons. NCBI's taxonomy places the organism in Eukaryota, Metazoa, Chordata, Aves, Charadriiformes, Scolopacidae.
CGGAACCACAGAGACGUACGCCGGAAGACUGAGGGGGAACUUCCGGUGCCUGGAGGGGAAAGGCCAUAGAGAUUGCCCUUCGGAGGACCGACCAGUACUUCAGGGUGUCCCGGAGCGCGGGACCAUAACCGCUUACCGGUGGCAGGGCUUCCCGCUCGCAGCCCAGGCAGCCGCAGCCAUCGCCUCGGCACCAAAACCCUGCGGUUUUGAUCCCGCAACCAGCCCCAGGGACGGUGCAGCGCUCUGUGUGUGGGGGCGACAGCAGCAAGUCCGCCGGGGACCAGGAAGGCAGGUGGGGGUGCCGCCUUCUCCACCACAGAAACAUCGGGGAUUUCUGCUUCCCUGCAGGAAAAUGAGGAGGUUGGUUUCGAUAUCUUCGAAUAGGAAAGCCCCUCCGCUUCUUUCCUUGUCGUGGCUUCUUCAGGCCUGUUCUUGCCUCAGGCCGUUUCAAUAAAAAUGGGAGUUACAAAAA